UGGUCUAGUUGGUUAUGACGAUCGCCUCACACGCGAUAGGUCCCGAGUUCGAUUCUCGG
RNAcentral lists this transfer RNA (59 nucleotides) under Perkinsus olseni. RNAcentral describes it as "tRNA-Val". It matches the Rfam family "tRNA", at positions 8 to 63 of the family's 71-position model. Rfam says of the family: Transfer RNA (tRNA) molecules are approximately 80 nucleotides in length. Their secondary structure includes four short double-helical elements and three loops (D, anti-codon, and T loops). Lineage: Eukaryota; Perkinsozoa; Perkinsida; Perkinsidae. The record is from RNAcentral.